This is a long non-coding RNA of Scylla paramamosain (green mud crab), 3772 nucleotides long. RefSeq lists it as uncharacterized. The transcript is spliced from 3 exons. The record is from RefSeq and is a predicted model, not a curated record. Lineage: Eukaryota; Metazoa; Arthropoda; Malacostraca; Decapoda; Portunidae.
GUUGGGAUCUCCACAAUCUGGGGAGUCCCUUACAUAAUUAAGCAUUCUGUAAGUGAAAGAAACUCAAAUUAAUCAGUAAACACUAAUUUUCUAUGAACUUUUUAACAUUUUUUAUCAUUAUUAAUACAGCUGCUUUUGUUUCAUUUACACUAAAUAAAUAUGCUUUUCUCUAGAUUAUAUUAUAUAUAUUAAAAAAUUGAAUGGAAUAUAGAUACAUAAAAACAUUAAUAUAAAUAUCUCAGGCUGGCCAUGGGCCUCCACUGACCUCAAGGUGGUGUGUCACACCAACACUUUUUCCGUCAACUUUUUCCAUCGUUUUUCUGAAAAUCGUGGAUAUCUUGGCUGCGGCCUGUUGCACACAAAUGGUGUUUCAUCUGAAACUUUCCGUUGGCACAGCCCAAGGAGUGCAAACAAACAUGGAGUCCACACUGCAGCAAAGAUACGCUACUCUGAAACUAAUACUGUGUACUGUGAGACACAGUAUUGGAGGGCACAGGUGACUGUGUUGUGAGCCGCUCUUUUCUGGCCUUUCUUCAUACAAGAUUCAUCCUUGUGGUCCCAGAGGCACUUAUGGCUCCUUAUGCUUUCCACAAGGAUCUCCUCUGAAUGGCGUGUCCAACUUGGAUGUGGUUUUCCUUCCAUGACGAAGCGUAGAGGUGGUAAUAACGCUCUGUGAGACAGGUUGAAGCCACGCGGAAAGUCUUGGUCUUGGUCUUGGAAAUAUAAACAAAGGCGGAAAUUUGCAGGAGGAAACAAUCCUAAUCGUCUGACAAAUUCAUGCGAUAAGUUCAUGUGGAACGAUGAAAAAUCGACGGAAAAAGUGCUAGUAUGACACCACCUUAAAUCCACCCUUGGAUUUGUGAGUUAAUUUUUUUUUCUUUUUUUUUCUUACUUGAGGGGCAUUGGCUUUGGGAGGGGGAAAAAAAAAAAAAGACCCACUUAGGUGCCAUUCCCUUAAGACCAAAAGGAUCAUCCAAAAUUGGAGGGUAAGUGCCUUGAAACUUUCCUCUUGAAAGAGUUCUAGUCAUAAGAAGGAGGAAAUAUAGAAGUAGGCAGAGUGUUCCAGAGUCUACCAAAAACUAACUGACUGUUAGGCUAGACUGUGUAAAAUACUGAUGUGACUACCUUCCUCUUUUUCUGUUUUUGCUGCUUCUCUGGAGUGAGGGGCUGGCACCAUGCACAAGUCUUCUUUGGUUGUGUCUGUCCCUUGCAUCUUCUUCUGUGACUCCCAUCCUUAGCAGCUCUAGCAUAAUUCCAUCCUUCCAUCUCACUCACUCUUUACCUUGAUCUUCCUUCAACUGGCUUUCUCCAGGCCCUUUUAAUUAGUCCUUUAUCAAGAUUGCCUCCAAUAACCACCUAGGAUGUGAACAAUCUCAUAUCACCACAUCAGUCUGGCUAGAUUACAACGUGCCUUCUCUUCUUCCCUGGGAGCAGCAAACCUGUGUGGGCUCCCAGACAGGUGAGUGCCGUGUGCUGAGAAAGGCAUGGCAGAAAGUGGAAAGUGGUGCUGAGGUCCCCAGAUAACUUAGUGAACUCCUACACUGAGGGACUGGAGAAGGUCUUGAAUGACUCCUCCAGAAUCAAGGAACUGCCAGUCCAGUACAUCACAGGAGGCAUUGCUAUUGGGCUGCAAAAAAAAAUUCACCUUUAGGAAGUUAUUUGACCGCAGCCUUCAGAAGAUGCAGGAGUCAAGCCUGAUGAACAAGCUGAGGUCCAAUUGGCUAUCAGCAGGAACUUCAAUGUGUGGCAGGAAGACUAAAUUCACAGCCAGCCUCUCUGAUGUGGCUGCAAUCUUCAUCCUCUUGAUGGGUGGUGCAGCAUUUAGCUGUCUGCUGCUGCUGCUGCUGCUGCUGCUGCUGCUGGAGUAUGCAGUGGAUAAUGAUGCAUGUGUAAAACCAUGGCCCAUAUUCUGAAGCACUCUGCUCUCUCACUAUGACCAUUUUCAGAGUCCACAUAGAUGAUUAGCUGGGUUCUCAAGAAAGAUUUCUCCUGUUGAUAAAUUUGAAAUCUUGUUAAUUUGGCAUUAGACCUGCAUAAGUACCUCAACACACAUGUAACUUCAUCCAGAGCCUUUUAAAAGCAGUGGAAGUGAGGUUUAGUAGUGUUUCAGAACAUUACCCAACAUACCUAAAACUCAAAAGCAUAUGAACCGAGUGACAAUCUCACACAAGGAGGCCAAGGCAAAGUGCAUAACAUAACUUAAGAAUUGAAAGUCUCAUAUAUCCUGCCAUGUACAUAAGAGUAUAAUGGAAGCUGCAAGACUACACAAGGCAGGCAGUCCCUCUAUAAAGCAUAUUAACCACACUUACAGAUACAUGCAAGACAAAAGGUGGCAGACAAUAAGUUCUUGGGGUUUGCUGACCUGAAGGAACUGCAGAAAAUAACAAGAAACAAGACACCUACACUUUUUUUUUUCUGUACGAGGGACACUGGCCAGGGGCAAAAAAAAAAAAAAAAAAAAGUGUCCGAAGCAGUAGUCAAAAAUUGAAGGAUAAGUGUCUUGAAACCCCUCUAUUGAAGGAGUUCAAGUCAUAGGAAAAUGGAAAUACAGAAGCAGGCAGGGAGUUCCAGUUUACCAGAGAAAGGGAUGAAUGAUUGAGAAUACUGGUUAACAUUUGCAUUAGAAAGGUGGACAGAACAGGAUUGAGAGAAAGAAGAAAGUCUUGUGCAGCGAGGCCACAGGAGGAGGGAAGGCAUGCAGUUAGCAAGAUCAGAAGAGCAGUUAGUAUGAAAAUAGUGGUAGAAGACAGCUAGAGAUGCAACAUUGCACUGAUGAGAGAGAGGCUGAAGACAGUCAGUUAGAGGAGAGAAGUUGAUGAGACAAAAAGCUUUUGAUUCCACCCUGUCUAAAAGAGCAGUAUGAGUGGGACCCCCCCCCCCAGACAUGUGAAGUAUACUCCAUACAUGGACGGAUAAGGCCCUUGUACAGAGGUAGCAGCUGGGGGGGUGAGAAAAACUGGCGGAGACAUUUCAGAACACGUAACUUCAUAGAAGCUGUUUUAGCUAGAGAUGAGAUGUGAAGUUUCCAGUUCAGAUUAUACGUAAAGGACAGACUGAGGAUGUUCAGUGUAAAAGAGGGGGACAGUUGAGUGUCACUGAAGAAGGGAUAGUUGUCUGGAAGGUUGUGUUGAGUUGAUAGAUAGAGGAAUUGAGUUUUUGAGGCAUUGAAUAAUAUCAAAUUUGCUCUGCCCCAAUCAGAAAUUUUAGAAAGCUCAGAAGUCAGGCAUUCUGUGGCUUCCCUGAAUGAAAUGUUUACUUCCUGAAGUGUUGGACGUCUAUGAAAAGAUGUGGAAAAGUGCAGGGUGGUAUCAUCAGCAUAGGAGUGGACAGGACAAGAAGCCUGGUUUAGAAAGUCAUUGAUGGAUAAUAAAAAGAGAGUGGGUGACAGGACAGAACCCUGUUAAUAGAUUUAGGAGAAGGAAUGGCCUAAGUUAAUGCUUAAGAAGUUUUGAAAAAGGAAAAAAGGUGACUGGGACGUGAGAUGUGAAUGCAAGUGAAUGGCAACGUGGGGAAAAAAAUAUAAAAUACCGUGAGCUGCUCUUUGCAAACACUUUAAAAAAGAAAAAAAAUUAUUUACCAUUCUACUGGAAAAGAAAAUACAAGACUAUAAAAGAAUGACUGAUUACAUGGCAGUGUGUGUGUGUGUGUGUGUGUGUGUGUGUGUGUGUGUGUGUGUGUGUGUGUGUGUGUGUGUGUGUGUGUGUGUGUGUGUGUGUGUGUGUGUGUGUGUGUCUGUCUGUCUGUCUGUCUGUCUGUCUGUCUGUCUGUCUGU